This 72-nucleotide transfer RNA is filed under the name Orestias agassizii. RNAcentral's name for it is "tRNA-Trp". It matches the Rfam family "tRNA". Rfam says of the family: Transfer RNA (tRNA) molecules are approximately 80 nucleotides in length. Their secondary structure includes four short double-helical elements and three loops (D, anti-codon, and T loops). Further hydrogen bonds mediate the characteristic L-shaped molecular structure. tRNAs have two regions of fundamental functional importance: the anti-codon, which is responsible for specific mRNA codon recognition, and the 3' end, to which the tRNAs corresponding amino acid is attached (by aminoacyl-tRNA synthetases). tRNAs cope with the degeneracy of the genetic code in two manners: having more than one tRNA (with a specific anti-codon) for a particular amino acid; and 'wobble' base-pairing, i.e. permitting non-standard base-pairing at the 3rd anti-codon position. Lineage: Eukaryota; Metazoa; Chordata; Actinopteri; Cyprinodontiformes; Cyprinodontidae. The record is from RNAcentral.
AGGGACUUAGGCUAGGAUUUAGACCAAGGGCCUUCAAAGCCCUCAGCGGGAGUGAAAAUCUCCCAGCCCCUG